This 789-nucleotide ribosomal RNA is filed under the name Alteromonas sp. RNAcentral's name for it is "bacterial SSU rRNA". It matches the Rfam family "Bacterial small subunit ribosomal RNA", at positions 111 to 902 of the family's 1533-position model. The record is from RNAcentral. Lineage: Bacteria; Pseudomonadati; Pseudomonadota; Gammaproteobacteria; Alteromonadales; Alteromonadaceae.
UAAUGCUUGGGAACUUGCCUUUAGGAGGGGGAUAACAGUUGGAAACGACUGCUAAUACCGCAUAAUGUCUACGGACCAAAGGGGGCUUCGGCUCUCACCUAAAGAGAGGCCCAAGUGAGAUUAGCUAGUUGGUAAGGUAAAAGCUUACCAAGGCGACGAUCUCUAGCUGUUCUGAGAGGAAGAUCAGCCACACUGGGACUGAGACACGGCCCAGACUCCUACGGGAGGCAGCAGUGGGGAAUAUUGCACAAUGGGGGAAACCCUGAUGCAGCCAUGCCGCGUGUGUGAAGAAGGCCUUCGGGUUGUAAAGCACUUUCAGUUGUGAGGAAAGGUUGGUAGUUAAUACCUGCCAGCUGUGACGUUAACAACAGAAGAAGCACCGGCUAACUCCGUGCCAGCAGCCGCGGUAAUACGGAGGGUGCGAGCGUUAAUCGGAAUUACUGGGCGUAAAGCGCACGCAGGCGGUUUGUUAAGCUAGAUGUGAAAGCCCCGGGCUCAACCUGGGAUGGUCAUUUAGAACUGGCAGACUAGAGUCUUGGAGAGGGGAGUGGAAUUCCAGGUGUAGCGGUGAAAUGCGUAGAUAUCUGGAGGAACAUCAGUGGCGAAGGCGGCUCCCUGGCCAAAGACUGACGCUCAUGUGCGAAAGUGUGGGUAGCGAACAGGAUUAGAUACCCUGGUAGUCCACACCGUAAACGCUGUCUACUAGCUGUUUGUGAAUUUAAUUCGUGAGUAGCGAAGCUAACGCGAUAAGUAGACCGCCUGGGGAGUACGGCCGCAAGGUUAAAACUC